UGCAUGUUUGGAUGAGAGUGGAGGCAUAAAUGCAUAAGGGAGCUGAGUUUCUACCAUUCUGGGAGAAACCAGGUUCGGCAGCCGAAGGAACUUUCGGCCGCCGAACAUGCUUGUGGAGGCAGCCUUCGGCUGCCGAAGCUUGCCCCCGAAAGGAGACUUUCGUCUCUGUCUGGGACUUUCGGCCGCCGAAAGUGCCGCCGAACAUGCAUGAGUUUCGCCUCUGUCUGGGAGUUUCGG
RNAcentral lists this long non-coding RNA (237 nucleotides) under Manihot esculenta (cassava). RNAcentral describes it as "long non-coding RNA (MESC_LNC007982)". The record is from RNAcentral. Lineage: Eukaryota; Viridiplantae; Streptophyta; Magnoliopsida; Malpighiales; Euphorbiaceae.